Molecule: non-coding RNA, 81 nt
Organism: Aspergillus fumigatus Af293
Lineage: Eukaryota; Fungi; Ascomycota; Eurotiomycetes; Eurotiales; Aspergillaceae
Source: the annotation of a RefSeq genome assembly
CGCGCGGUGCUCAGACUCCACGCAGGCCUGCAACACGCGGCAAGCUCAAUGGUGGUCCAGAUGCAGACGGCGUCUGCAAGA